This is a long non-coding RNA of Pan troglodytes (chimpanzee), 15335 nucleotides long. RefSeq lists it as uncharacterized. The transcript is spliced from 11 exons. Lineage: Eukaryota; Metazoa; Chordata; Mammalia; Primates; Hominidae. The record is from RefSeq and is a predicted model, not a curated record.
AGGGAAGGCUGGUGGGUUUCCUCACUGGGAGCAAGGCAUCCUCUGCAGUCACAUAUUGGCAAUGACAGCUCAUUCUCACUAGGGUCUGUCCUGCUCACAUCACAAAAAUAACCAUAAAAGUCCCUAUUAUUUACUGAGGGCUUAUCAUGGGUGAGGUGCCGCACUGAGGGGCAGUCCCUCCAGGGGUAUUGUUUCCAUUUCACAAGGAGAAGUGUUGUUGAAGUUCAGAGAAGUUAGGUAACCUGCCUAAGGCCUCACAGCCCCACGAGUGGCAGAGCUGGGAUUCUACCCCAGGCACUUAGCUCUGAAGCCCGAGCUCCUGACCACUUUGCCUGUAUCCUUUCAUAAAUGUAAUCUUUAAGCUGCGGCUAUUCCCUGUUAAGCCCCUGUUUAAAGAUCUAUCAAAAUAGAUGCCUCCUCUGAGUCGCAGCCUUCUCUGAUUCUCCUUAUCAUCAUGAGAGCAGAUACCAAGAGGCAGAGAUGGCCAAAAGGUUUUAAGUUCCCUCUAUUCUCUUGUACAAUGCAGUGCCAAGUAAUACCCUGGGGUUACUCACACUGCUAUGGCCUCUAGUUGAAGAUAGGAGUGCUGUGGUUUUUUUCUUGGCAAGAAAUUGUGGACCAGGGGUGAUAUCCAAUCACAGUCCUCUGGCCUCAUUUGGGACACAGAGGGCAAGUAUUUUUUUAACCCUGUUAUUUUACAAAAAUAUUAAAAGGCAAGCAACUGGACAUGGUGGCUCAUGCUGUAAUCCCAUUGUUUAUGGGAGGCUGAGGUGGGAGGACCACUUGAGGCCAGGAAUUCGAGAUCAGCCUGGACAACACGGUGAGACCCCAUCUCUACAAAAAAAAAAAAAAUAGUCAAGUGUGGUAGUGCACACCUGUAGUCCCAGCUACUUGAGAGACAGGCAGGAGGAUUGCUUGAACCCAGGAGCUUAAAGCUGCAGUGAGUUAUGAUCGUCCCACUGCACUCCAGCCUGCGUGACAGAGCAAGAUUCCGUUAGACUGGGUAACAGAGUGAGACCCUGUCUCAAAAAUAACAGCAAGUAAGCAAUCAUGAUUUUUUGACUUUUCAAGGAAUUUGCAAACAACAUGUAUUCCCUUUGCCCAUCUAGCUUUUGGGAAAGGACACCCAAAUUCCAACAGUCACCUACCUAGAAAAAUACAUAACCACAGCCAUGGUCCAUUCCAUUGCGACUUGGUGAUGUCAGAAGGUCUCAGGCUCAGGAGGGGCAUCCCCCAGGGUCUCUCAGCAAAUAUCCCGAUUCCUUAAACUGGGACAGUGUUUUCUGUCUGCAGAGUGUGCUCCCACCUUGGAAUGGGCUUGUCUGGCCUGACCCUGAAUAUGCCCAGCAGGGACUGCAUCCCUCAGUUCAUAGAUACAGAGGUUGAAGGUCAGGGAGGUGAAGACAGAAGGGGCAGCCAGUCAGAGCCAGCAGCUGCAGCAGGACCCAGAUUUCUUGUUUCUGAGUCCAGGAUUCUUUCCACUCCACCAGCUCUCUUGUAUGGACAGCUCAGGGGUCAGAGAAAGCACCUUUAUUGCUGAAUUUCCUUCUUCUCUCCUGUAGCCUUAUGACCAGUGUUCGGAAGAUUUAUCUCUUUCUAGCUUGGGACUUGCACCCAGCAAGUUUCCAUGCAAGGCAGCUGCCUUUAAGAAGAACAGAAGAGUCCCAGUUGGGCUUAUGGGGAAUGAAAUCAGUCCCAAGCCCCGAUCUCUCUGAAAAGUUGUUAUUAAAUUCUGUGCCUGGCCCUGACCUGGAUUUAAAGAUUUGCAAGAAGACAAAUUCCAAACAGAUGCCCAUUAGGGCCCUGACAGCCGCAGCUUAAAGAUAACAUUUACAUUCUGCCGGGGUUUGUAUCUCUCUGUUCCCCACUCGGCCCCUCUCUUUCCUCCGGUGGGAUCAAUACCUCGGUUGAGGUUACGUGGAGGUGGCCACAUUCUUUUAAGCUGUUUGCUCAGUGCUUGGUUUGCUCUGCUAACACGCUGGGCACUUCUUCCAACAGCCCUGUUUGCCCAGCAUUAGGGCUGUUUGUUGAAACACCUAGCCCAAUCCGAGGGGGCUCAGCUUUCUAAACAGUUGGUCCCCGAAUCUGUCAAUCAAUAACACCAAUUGGGUUCCUGAUACGAACAGCAAGUGUGGCCAAGUCCAAUAUUUGCCCAAACACUGCCUCCUCCCCCUGCACCUGACUGUCCCCCAGCUUGACUAAAAGGACGAUCACCAGGCGCAUGGGCUGCUGGGAAGAUACAAUGUUGGCAAACAGGGAGCUGGUUCCAGGAAAGAAGGGCACAUGAGCAAACAUGAUGGCCCCUUUAUGAGAGGUAAUUUACUGAAAUGCACAGCGAUUACCUGCUCAUCCAGCCCUGAUGUAAUUAAAAAUGGCAGGCUAGGGGCUCUGUUUCCCCCGGCUCUGGCAGAGAAACCUGGGUUUCGACUUGUGAAGCUUGAGGUUGGAUGUGGGAAUUGGCUUGGAGUCGUAGGCGAUGAGAGGGACAUUAGGAUUAUCAAGCCCGUGAGCUCAACUCCUGAGAAGGACACAGCAGAGCGAGAGAAAAGGGUAUUUAUUACUAAAAGUGUUUUAAAACUGGACCACUGAGUAAAGUCACUCCAUCUCCUACUGUUCCUAGCACAGUGCUUGAUAAAUAUUUGCUGGCUCAUUCAGCUGCAGCUGCAGAGACCUACCUGUGUUUGCUGUGGCGACUGUCUGGGCCAAAGCUCAGGCAGCUGGAAGUAUCAGUGAAGCCAGAAGAUUCUAGCUGUCCAGGGUCUGUGAGGAGGAGUCAAGGUCUGGGGUUUGUGUCCUCUGCAUAGCAAUGGCACUGCAAUGGGGGAGCCUGGUGCUGGGCUGGGCCGUCUCGUCACUGUCACCUGCCCGUUGAGGGGUGACAGUGGUUCUUGAGAGGCUGGAUCAGACCCCAGAGGUGACAUGGAUGUGACAUAUUUGUUGGACUUACACAGCCUUGCAUUUUAUUUUCAUCUCUGUUCCUUCCUCCCAUGAGAUCUUGGGUGGUGUUUAUCAACCCUGAGUAAUCGUUUCUUCAUCUGCAAGAUGGAAUAAAAAGGCCUACCUCAUUGGGCUCGUGUGGGUGAGGAGAACUGAAGAGUCUGAGAGCGCGGCACGAGCCAGAGGCUACGGAAAACACUGCCCUCCUACACUCCACCUUGGAGAGACCCAGAAAAGAACAAGCUUCAUUUGUAAAAAAGGAAAACAGCUCAUGGGGGUGGCUUAAAGGCACUCUACAGUGUGCAGAUGCCUUCUACUUCUUCCAUCUGCCCUGUCUUUCCAAGAACCCCUAUGGCCCCAGGCUCAGAACAGAGCUGAGUGCAGAAAUGAAAAUCUAUGGCUCUGUGUUCCAAAAUGAUGAAGAAUUUCAAGAUGGUGGCAGUGGUAAAAUCCUUCUCCAGGAAAAAUCUGUCCUUGGCCCAAUGUGUAAACACUUGCUGAGGAACUUGGAAUAACUUGCAGUGUCUUGCAGUAUUGUGAAACCAGCAACUUGUUCACAAUUCUUCUGAAUUUCUUGGGAAAUUUGAAGUGGAGUACCUGUACCAACAUGAAAUGACACGAAUUUAAGUGAAGCUCAACAACGAAAAGCAAAAAGAACCAAAGAGGAAGCAACUGAAACAACAUCUGGAUGUAUUUAAAAAUAUACAAUGCCUCCAAAAUCAGGUGUCAUUAAUGAAAAUUCUGAAGAAAUGCCACCGGACAUAGCCAACACACCUACGCUAUUGUUAUUCAUUUCCUGCUUUUCACAGAAAACAAUUUUGUUGCAUGGAAGAUUGUGAACUUCAAAGAGCAGAGGGGAAACUCUCCCUUGGCCCCUACCCCUCCAAGGCCCCACUUUUUCGUCAACACUCCUUGGACGCAGCAGAAGUAUGAACAUAAUAUGGUCCUGAAUGAGGCUGAGUCUUUGGGCGCAGAAGACCCGGGUUAAUAAAAAUAGGAAGCCCUGGCUGUACCACUGAGGACUGAAUUUUAACAGGAAGCAGAAAACUGGGAUUCUUAGGUCGCAGGUCACUGGAUCAAGAGGCACCACAUCUACGUGUGAAGCAGGGAUUACUGCCCCUCACUGCUGAUAUGGGAUGCCAACAUACCACCCUGAGACCCUGCACCUGAGGACUAUGCUGCCCCUGCUGCAUUCCCUGGGGAGGGAUGAGGUGGUGUGAAGACCAGAAAGGAGGCUGUUGCACUAGUUCAGGAAGAGAAGAGGAGGUGGGCGACAGAAGUAGAGGCAGCGCUCUGAGGGACCUCGGGCAGGUGGAAGCCACACAACUGCAUGGCCAUGAGGGCAAGGAGGCACCUGUUGAACUCAGGCAUCGGCAUGUGAAUUGAUUUGGUCAAUGAAAUGUGAGAGAAGUGACAUCCACUUUGAGACAGGCAGUUUCCGAAUGCCAUCAAGCUGAGAUGUGAAGCGGAAGUGAGGCAGAGGCUCCCUUCCUUUUGUUUGGCGCAGUUUUCUGUGAGAGAGCAGAGGUGGGAGAUGAGGGGACCUCUGCCCCAGUGUUUCUGCAUCCAAGCUCCAGCCUUGUUGAAGGUUCACUGGGGGAGCUCGAGGGAGCAGCUGCUGAGGCAGGCCAUGCACAGAAGGAGAUUUCAGCCUUAGAACCUAUUCAGAUGAGCACACCGCUCUGCUUGCAUGGGCUCUGAAGAUAUCCCAAUCUGGGUUUCCAGGAAGCUCUGGACACUACUAGAAACACAUCUGAAGUUUGGACGGAGGAAGCCAGCCUGCAAUAGCCUACAUAGCCAUGGACUAUGAGCUUGCCUGACCUGUUAUUACCUGAUGGAAGUGUAGCCCCUGGCUGCUAGGCCAAGAUGGAGUCUCUGCAAUUCCAAAUACAUCCUGCUCUACCUGGAUCACUGCCUUGAGCUGGGUGGAAAGGUCAGUAGAGAAAUGUAUCCACCUGGCUUUCUAAGGUAGACCCAGGUUGUUGAUGGCAUCCGUUCACCUGGCUGGAUGCAGGACCCUGGGGAGGUCAUGGCUGAGGCCAGUGCUGCAGGUUAGUCUUGUCUCGCUGCAUGGAUCCUGUUGGUAGUAACCUUAAUUAAAUGCUAUAGGAGACUAACUAAAUCGAUUUUGUCCCCCCUUCUGUUGGUCAAAUUAAUCAGAGUGGCCGAUAGAGUGAUGCAUUCAUGAGAGGAUUUGCCAGAAGCUAAGGCUAUAAAAACCAGGGCUAGAGUUGGUUUGAGACAAUUCUCCGUGGGUCUUUCAAGUUUCUGCAUGGUUUGUGAGCAGAGGUACUGACUGCCUUUGUUCCAGAUGAUCUUUCCAAGGAUGUUGUACUACAAGUAUGAGAGAUAGUAUCUCUCUCUGAAACCAAGAGCAGGCAGGCUUAGUGUUCCUUAGGAAAGAUUCACCUUCCCUCCACUUGGGGUUUCUCUCCUGUAGUGCAGGUGUGUGCAGGAGCCUUGUGGCCCUUCCUAUGCUGCUCUGUAAGAUUUGGAGCUUAGGGAGCCAAUGCAAAAAAGCACUGCUUCUGGAUCCUGCUACUUCUGUGAGUCAUGAAAUCUUUGAUCUCUGACCCAGGAGUCUUGUGUCUUCUGCUAGCCUCCAAGCAGGGUAAAGUCAUCUCAGACACCUCACAGUUCUUGAUCACCAUGUCUGGCCAGAACCAUGCUUGAGUGUGGCAUGUCUGUGAACAUCAUCCAUCGUGUAUGCAUCAUAGGAAGAUAAAAGUCAGCUGCUCUUGACAUCACCAGACCAUACUGGAUGAUAGGUGUGGGGGUCACCACCCACCACUUUCCACUGUCCAGUGCAGGCGAUCAGUUCUACAUAAAGAUCCAGGAGGCUGGCUGGAGAGGGCUGGAGGGGCCUCAGAAGUCAGACCAUGUGGGUUUCUAUCAUGAUCCUCCAUACCCUACAGCCUCUGUUUUCCCAUCUUUCAAGCAGGGAUAACAACAGCACCUACUUUGGAGGGGUUUUGUGGGGAUUCAAUAGUAUGGCUCCGCCCGGGAAAGCCCUGAUGAAGGUAGAACCUGUUAUUUGUGUUUACCAUUGUUAUUAUCAUCCAUAUCAUUAUUCUGCCCACCUGGACUUAUUCUUUGUAAGGCUUGCCUCUCCCUCUGAACAGCCUGUAUAUAAUCUAUCUUUUCUGCACCAAAAUUGGCCAAUUUAUGUGGCACCCCUCACCACCAUCACUGGAUGUGCCUCUAAUCUAAUUAGACUAAUUUCAAUUUCCUGGAUUUAAUUACUUUUAAUUUAAUUAAUUUAGAAUGCAGUAUACUAGGUGAUUAAUUAGGAGACGUUACUGAGGGAUUCGGAAGGGGAAUUGCAGUAUGUAAGUGUUUAAAUAUUAUUGUGGCCAUAGCCACCAGUUGUCACUUUACACAGGAGGCCGCUGAGGCCCUGGGAGGGGCAGAGCUUGGAGAACUGGGAUGGGACAGGGACUCAAACAGAAGUCUCCUGGCAGCAAGCACAGAGCUCUUUCCUUUCACUGCUUUUGGCAACUCCCAGGGGAGGCAAAGAAGAGGCAGCUGAUUCCAGUGACCAGCAAGUGGGAACUAAGUCAUGAAUUGUGGGAGGUGAGAACACACUUGGUCUUUUAAUAGAGUGAUAUUUUACUGGGUUUUUCAUGUACAUAGUAAAUAACCAUAGGUCUCCCUCUGAGCUAUCACACACUUCUGUUAUUUUUCUUUUUUGCUACACACAUUUACUGAGUACCUGGAAUAAUGAAUAGUCAUCGCCAUCAUCAUCAUCUUAACAAACAUGUAUGUGGUGCUACAUGCCAGACGUUGUUCUGAGUGCUUUUAUAUUGAUUAGCUCAUUUAAUUGUCAUCGGAGUUAAGUACUGUAAGUGAAGUACUGUUGCUUCCAUUGUACUAUUGCUUCCAUUGUCUAGAGGACUAUUGCUUCCAUUGUCUAGAGUACUAUUGCUUCCAUUGUCUAGAGGAGGGGUCUGAGGCACAGAGUUAGCUCUGUCAGGAAUAUCUAUUAUUUGUGUUGUACAAAGGGACAAGUCCUAGUUAAUUUCAGGCUUGUGCCAGGCAGGUGGGGGAGACAGUCUAGGGCUGGGCCCUUUAGGUCACACAGGUUUACCUACUCCACCUCUGAGAGGUAAUAAUAACACCAGCAAACACCUGCAGAGCUCUGACUGUGUGCCAGGUCUGCUUCUAAAUCAUGUUGUGUAUUGACUCUGGACACACCUGCCCACACCUGCAGAGCUCUGACUGUGUGCCAGGUCUGCUUCUAAAUCAUGUUGUGUAUUGACUCUGGACACACCUGCCCUACUCACUACUCCCUGAGGGUAGAUUGAGCUAUGGCUUUCUCCAUAUCUCUGUUUGUCAAUCAGGACUUGAGACUACAGUUCUGAUGGACCCUUGGAGGCAGAGCUGGGCCAGACCCUCUAUCCUGAGCGAAUCCUGCAGCAUGAGCUAGAUCCUUCACUCUGAAAUCAAGCUCCAAUUCCAAGGUUACUCAUUUACCAAAUGAGCCCAUUGGGCAUUUUCAGGGCUUUGACCCCUGUUCUCUUGGAAUGUUGGGCUAGGAUUCAGGUAAGAAGCCUGUGUGGUGUAGGACUUCACUCUGAUGCAUGAGCAAUGCCUGCUAGGCCGGGACCCUCUUGCAAGGAGAAGUAAAGACACAAGAGCUGGCUUCAAUAUAUUCCCUGUGUGGGGACUAGGACCACAGCGAGACUUUCCUCUUUAUAAAUGAAUUUUCUAAUAGUCUGAGCUGUCUUAGCUGCAAUGGGCUUGUCAACAGGCCAUCACUGGGGGUAUCCAAACAGAAACCGAUUGACAACAACUUGCUUACUUGGUCUUCUCUUCCUGGAAGGCUCAUCUCUAUCUUUUUUGUCAGUUAACUCCUAUUCAACUUUUAAGACUCAGUCCAGGUGUCACUUCUUCUGGAAAGGCUUCCCUGUAAACCCCAACCCAGCCCCAGACUGGGCCAGAUGUCCUUUGUGUUCCCAUAAUGUCUCAGGCAUAUCUUUAUCAUUACACCCACUAUAUAUUGCAAUGACCUGCUUAUGAGUUUGUCUCCUCUAGGUUCUGUCUAUGUCACCACCCUCUUCAAUAACCAGGUGAGGCAGACAUGAUUUCCAUUUGGAGGAUGGAGAACCGAGGCUCAGGACCUCGCCCGUGCAGCCAAGAGGAGACAAGGAUGGCUAGGUCUGGUUCCCAAGCCUAAAGACCAUGAUCUGUCCAGUGUGGAACACUGCAGGCCCCCAAGUUCUGUCAUUUGUAAAGUCAUGGGCUUGUGUGAGUCCCGAGCAAUCAAAGCAGCAGAAGCAAUGCUCCCAAGGGGUGCACGAGGGCCAUGUUUGGAGCCAUGCCAGCUUGCCAAUCCUUGGCAUACUCUGUACAUAGCCAGAUAACUACACAAGCUCACCUCAUCUGCACAAACUCACUCUCUGAACACUUCUAAGGUCACUGAGAAGUCAGGGAAAAAUGAGAACCAGGACAGUCAAAGCCUUUGCCUCUCCUGAAGCUAUGGGGCUUGUUGCCAGAGCCAAAGCCCCUCUUAGCACCCUUAUUCCUUCAUUUAACAAACAUGAGGAGAGCCCGGCCCUCUGCUUUUAAGGGUGGAUUCCAUUACUAUUAAGACUUCUGCGGCCCCUGAAAGAUUAACUCAACAGUCACCCCUGUGAAAGCUGAUCCAAGUGGAAAAUCGAGUUAGAAAAUUCCACCUUCCCUUCCCUCACACCUCAGCAGAUUAAGGGGAAGGCCUGAUGCUGAGUUAUGGGGAUUUAUGGGAAUGUGCAGUUGCUGGCUUUUAAACGCUCACUCUUUGGAAUGUUGGCAACCUUGCUUCCUAUAAAUCGUUGCUGGUAUUUCUUAGCCUUUCCUUGCCAGCAACGCGGAGGCCUGCAACACCUUUUCCGUGCAGUAGCCUGUGAAAACAUUGAAGUCGGGCCCAGAAAAACACCAGCAUUGAAAGGGGAAACUUUGAUGUUUGCUAGUUCUUUUCAGACAACUCUUGCCAAAUCUUAAUUUUUCCAGUUUACAAGUAAGGGAUUCUGACCAUCUGUCUGCUGUCAACCGAUGUUUGUUUGGAUGAAGAUUUUAUUUUUUUCUCCCAAUCUAGCACUCCUGUUCUUACAAGUAGUUUAUUGGACUUCAUAAAUGUCAGCUUUUUGCAGGCAUUUUGUAAGCAGCUUAUGAUUUAGUAUUUAAUCAAAAUUGAGCAGUCAGCGUCUGUAAUCAAUCUGAAGCAGGAGUAACAAUGAGAUUGAAGCUUAAAAUGCACCAGGACCACAAUUUAUGUCUCCCAACUAUCGUUAUAAGAACUAAGUUUGCACUUGAAGGUCUGGGGUGGGGAGAUGAUGCAGGAAAUAAACACUUACUGAGUACCUGUUGUGUGUCAUUUUAUGAUUGUGUCAGUUAUUAAUUGCCAAAAUAAUACUGUACAACAAACCAUCCCAAACUCGGUGACUUAAAAAAAUCAGUCUUUUUAGCUUGUUGGUCUGAUGAGUCAGGUGGGAGGUCCUCUUGGCCUUGGCAGAGCUCUUUAUGUGUUGGGGAUGGGUUGGCUGCUGGGUGAUCUUUGCUGGCCUCGUCUGGGACAACUAGGGCAUAUUGGCUCCAUUCUGUGUGUUUCUCACCCUCCAGCAGGCUAGCUGAGGCAUGUUCUCAUGGCCAUGGCAGAGUGCAAAAGUAAGCAAACCGAGUCUGUAAGCACUUUCCCAAAUUUCUGCUUGUGUCACAUUUGUUAACAUCUCACUGGCCAAAGCAAGUGACAUGGCCGAACUCUGAAUCACAGAGUUCACGCAGGCUGCUCUAACAAAAUUCCAUAGACUAGGUAGCUUAUAAACAAAAAAAAAUUUAUUUCUCAGAGAUUUGGAGAUUGGGAAGUCCAAGAUCAAGGUGUGCAGACAGAUUUGGUGUCUAGUGAGGACCCGCUUCCUUGUUCGUAGAUGUUGCCUUCUCACUGUGUCUUCAUGUGGCGAAAUGGGCAAGGCAGUUCUCUGGGGCCUUUUUUUAUAAGGGUAGUAAUCCCAUUCAUGGGAUUACUCAUGACCUAAUCAUCUCCCAAAGGCCCCAUCUUCUAAUACCAUCAUGUUGGUGUUUAGGUUUCAGCAUAUACGUUUUGGGAGAAGGCAAACAUUCCACCCACAGCAGGGAGAAAGACUCUCUCUCUUUAUAGCAGGAGGACUUACAAAGUCACAGGCAAAGUUCAUGGGCACAGAGAAGGGUGAAGAAUCAGGGCCCUAAAACAAUCAGUCUAUCACAGUGAUGCUGGAAAUCCCUGAAGGAGGUAAUUAUUAUAACCGCCAUCUCCAUACGGAGAAAUUCAGAGAUUAAACCAUUUGCCCAAGGGUUCUCGACAGUUAGCAAAGAAGUCAGAAUUCUUUCUUGGCCUAAAUCUUAAGCAGUUUACUUUUGUCUCUCUGAAUCUACUUUUCUCUAGACAUAGGUAAAGCAAGAGUAGUGGGAGGCUCUCAGAAAUCAUCAAUUUGCCACCCUCAUUUUAAACAUGGCCUCUAGAAGGGGAGCGAAUUGCCUAAGGUCUUACAGGGGAAUGGAAGGACACAGGAAGGCCCAGCUUUCAGGACAGCACUCUUCCUGCGCCCAGGAAGAGCCAUGCAUCUCCAAUCUUUCACAGCGCUGUCUUCUGCAGGAAGCUGCUGAGGACUUUGAACUCCCCCUCUCAGACUUGAAUACAGUAUCCACUAGGCAGGCUCUACAGGGACCUGGCUUGGUCAUGGCAGCCUUAAGAGAAUAUAGCAAAAUUACUCUAAGGGGCUCCCAGAUGGAGCAAGGAUGGCAAAGGCCUUUGCUAGGUUUACUAGAGAGGCAUAUUGAAUGUUGGCAGCCUUUUAUGACAUCAUGAUUAAAUUCCUUCCUUGGUUGGUCCUAUGAAAUGAAUUCAUAUGUUGAAGCCUGAACUCCCAAUGUGACUGUAUCUGGAGAUAAGACCUUUAGGAAUUAAUUAAAUUAAAUGAAGUCAUAAGGGUGGGGCCCUAAUCCAACAGUACUGUGCCCUUAUAACAGAGAAGAAGGCCAGGCGUGGUGGCUCAUGCCUGUAAUCCCAGCACUUUGGGAGGCCAAGGUGGGUGGAUUGCCUGAGGUCAGGAGUUCAAGACCAGCCUGGCCAACAUGGUGAAACCCUGUCUCUACUAAAAAUACAAAAAAUUAGCUGGGCGUGGUGGCACAUGCCUGUAAUCCCAGCUACUAGGGAGGCUGAAGUGGGAGAAUUGCUUGAACCUGGGAGGUGGAGGUUGCAGUGAGCCGAGAUCAUGCCAUUGCACUCCAGUCUGGGCAACAAGAGUGAAACUCUGUCUCAAAAACAAAACAAAACAAAAGCAACAAACAAACAAACAAAAAACAGAGAAGAAAGAGAUAUUUCUGCCGUGUGAGGACAUCAUAAGAAGGUAACUGUUCACAAGCCAGGAAGAGAGCCCUCACCAGAACCCAGCUGUGCUGACACCCAUCAUAAUCUCAGACUUCUGGCCUCCAGAACUGUGAAAAAAUACGUGUAUGUUGUUUUAGCCACCAUCCAGUCUAUGGUAUUUUGUUGUAGCAGCCUGAGCUGAUUAUGACAGAUGAGGAAUCAGAUUAUCAAAGGGUCAUUUAUGUAUUCACUCAGGCAUUCAACUUAUAUGUAUUAAGUAUAUACCGUGUGCAAACUCUCCAUGCUACAGUGGGGUGGGAGGCUGGGAUUUUCCCUGGAGAGUGGAGGAGUGGCUUUUCAUGUUGCCCUGAUUUGCCCCCAGUUCUCCAUCUAAGCUGCCAGCAAAGCCUUCACUAUAUAGGUUUUUCCCUCCUGGCUUAAUGAGCUACUGGCUUUGGAGGAGGCUGGGAUGGCCACCUGACUGACUGUCCCUAGGGCAGUUGGCUGGAGUGUCCGUUUUUAUGCUGCUGAUGAAGGCAUACCUGAGGCUGGGAAGAAAAGAGGUUUAAUUGGACUUACAGUUCCACAUGGCUGGUGAGGUCUCAUAAUCGUAGCAGAGGGUGAAAGGCACUUUUACAUGGUGGCAGCAAGAGAGAAUGAGGAAGAAGCAAAACGAAACCCCUGAUGAACCAAUUAUAUCUCAUAAGACUUUUCACUAUCACAAGAAUAGCAUGGGAAAGACCAGCCCCCAUGAUUCAAUUACCUCCCCCUGGGUGACUCCCACAACACAUGGGAAUUCUGGGAGAUACAAUUCAAGUUGAGAUUUGAAUGGGACACAGCCAAACCAUAUCAUUCCCCCUGGCCCUCCAAACCUCAUGUCCUCACAUUUCAAAACCAAUCAUGCCCUCCCAACAGUCCCCCAAACUCUUAACUCAUUUCAGCAUUAACCAAAAGGUCCACAAGUCCCAAGUCUCAUCUGAGAUAAGGCAAGUCCCUUCCACCUAUGAGCCUGUAAAAUCAAAAGCAAGCUAGUUACUUCCUAGAUACAAUGAGGGUACAGAUAAUGGGUAAAUACAGCUGUUCCAAAUGGGAGAAAUUGGCCAAAACAAAGGGGUUACAGGACCCAUGCAAGUCCAAAAUACAGCAGGGCAGUCAAAUUUUAAAGCUCCAAAAUGAUCUCUUUUGACUCCAGGUCUUACAUCCAGGUCACACUGACGCAAGAGGUAGGUUCUUAUGGUUUUCAGCAGCUCUGCCCUUGUGGCUUUGCAGGGUACAGCCUCCCUCCCAGCUGCUUUCAUGGGCUGGCAUUGAGUGUCUGUGGUUUUUCCAGGUGUACAGUGCAAGCUGUUGGUGGAUUCUGGGAUCUGGAGGACAGUGGCCCUCUUCUUACAGCUCCAAUAGGCAGUGCCCCAGUAGGGACUCCGUGUCAGGGCUCUGACCCCACAUUUCCCUUCUGUACUGCCCUAGCAGAGGUUCUCCAUGACGGCCCCAUCCCUGCAGCAAACUUUUGCCUGGACAUCCAGGAGUUUCCAUACAUCUUCUGAAAUCUAGGUGGAGGUUCCCAAACCUCAAUUCUUGACUUCUGUGCACCUGCAAGCUCAACACCAUGUGGAAGCUGCCAAGGCUUGGAUCUUCCACCCUCCAAAGCCACAGCCUGAGCUGUAUGUUGGACCCUUUCAGUCAUGGCUGGAGUAGCUGGGACACAGGGCACCAAGUCCUUAGGCUGCACACAGCAUGGUGACCCUGGGCCCAGUUCACAAAACCACUUUUUCCUCCUGGGCCUCUGGGCCUGUGAUGGCAGGGGUUGCCGUGAAAGUCUGUGAUAUGGCCUGGAGACAUUUUCCCCAUGGUCUUGGAAAUCAUCAUUAGGAUCCUUGCUACUUAUGCAAAUUUCUGCAGCUGGCUUGAAUUUCUCCCCAGAAAAUGGGUUUUUCUUUUCUACUGCAUCAUCAGGCUGCAAAUUUUCUGAACUUUUUGCUCUGUUUCUCUUUUAAAAUGGAAUGCUUUUAACAGCACCUAAGUCACAUUUUGAAUGCUUUGCUACUUAGAAAUUUCUACCACCAGAUACCCUAAACCAUCUCUCUCAAGUUCAAAGUUCCACAAAUCUCUAGGGCAGGGGCAAAAUGUUUCCAGUCUCUUUGCUAAAACAUAACAAGAGUAACCUUUGCUCCAGUUCCCAACAAGCUCCUCAUCUCCAUCUGAGGCAGCUCCCAAAAGGUUCCUCAUCUCCAUCUGAGGCAGCUCCCAAAAGGUUCCUCAUCUCCAUCUGAGGCCACCUCAGCCUGGACCUUAUUGUCCAUAUCACUAUCAGGUUUUUGGUCAGUCAUUCAACAAGUCUCUAGAAAGUUCCAAACUUUCUCACACGUUUUACUAUCUUCUUCUGAGGCCUCCAAAUUGUUCCAACCUCUGCCCGAUACCCAGUUCCAAAGUUGCUUUCACAUUUUCAGGUAUCUUUUCAGCAACACCCCACUCCUGGUACCAAUUUACUGUAUUAGUCCGGUUUUAUGCUGCUGAUAAAGACAUACCUGAGGCUGGGAAGAAAAAGAGGUUUAAUUGGAUUUACAGUUCCACAUGGCUGGGGAGGUCUCAUAAUCAUGGUGGAGGGCGAAAGGCACUUCUUACAUGGCAGCAGCAAGAGAGAAUGAGGAAGAAGCAAACGCAGAAACCCCUGAUAAACCCAUCAGAUCUCAUGAGACUUAGUCACUAUCAUGAGAAUAGCAUGAGAAAGACCAGCCUCCAUGAUUCAAUUACCUCCGCUGGGUCCCUCCCACAACACGGGAAUUCUGGGAGACGCAAUUCAAGACAGAAUUUGAAUGGGGACACAGCCAAACCAUAUCAGGGCCUUUGGCAGAGAUUGGUGUGCCUGCUGUUGCUCUCCUGUGGAGCUCCUCAAUAGGUCAUGUGGGCAGUGAGUUUUUUUUGGUACAUCAAAUAUGAUGUUUCCUAAAGACUUCAGAAUCAUGGAUUCCAAUGCCUGGUCAAGUGAUCCUAAUACCAUAGCUUGAUUUUUGUCUUAUUUUUCUAUUCCCAGCUGAGUGUCAUGGAAAAUGCCCCAGGAGCUGGAAGGAAAUUGCUAACCAAGAGCAGAAAACACUGACUGGCUAGACCAGCAGGGAGGGGCAGUGUCUGAAAUGGAUACAGGGAGGAAAAAGAUGGUUCAGCUUCUUUUUUUUUUCUAGCUCAAAGGAUCAGCCUCACUUUAUAAAGUUUGGUAAAAAUUUUCAUGAGUGAAGCUCAUAUGAUAAACAAAGGUAUUCCUAAUAAUUGAACUUGCCAGUGCCCCCUGUGUCCACACCCUGUGGCUGUUAGGGCACCUCUGUAAGACUCAGUUUCCUUCUCUGUAAAAUGGUGGGACACGGGUUAUAAUGUGGUUGCUAUAAAUGCCUACAGUCACACCCAAGAGGGUGUCUUGCUCAUGGAUAUUAAAUUAACAUUCUUUCAUUGGCCCUUCCCUACUAGACUCCCUCCCUACCCCUGUCUAUCUGAAUCUUCCUAGCACUUUCUUAUCCCUUCAAUAAUUCAACAUUAAUGGUUUAUUAAACAGAGGCUUCCUAAUGGGCUGUUAUUGACCUGAUGCAGAGCAAAUCUUCCACUGUGGGGUUGCCCAGGCCCUUGACAGGAGAGUAACUGAUGGGAGAGGCUGACUGUGAUGGUGUUCUCGGGCCAAGAAGGAAUGGCCCAAGAGCAAAUCCUAAUACUGUCACCUUCAUGCCUUGGAAAACCUCUUAACCUCCUGAAACCUCAAUUUCUGCAAAAUGGGAUUCAUAUCACCUUUGCCGUGAGGUUUCUAUGAAAUUGAAUCAAUGUAGGUGAACCUCCUAGCUCCUCACACCUCCCCACUCUGCGCCUAGGGCUCAGGCCAGCCCCAGCUCUGGGGAAUGUGUUCAGUUAUCCACCUGGUCUAUCUGCGGGACUACAACACCCAUGUAUCUCCCUUGCUUGAAGUCUCACCAUAACAGAUUUGUUCCUUUGAGUCCACCUCCAGAAGUCUCUGUGGUAAAGAGAAGUGCCUUUGUCCACCACAAGCCCCUGGUGGCUGACGACUAAGAGGCAGGGCAGUGAGAUGGAGGGAGCCCUG